AGGCCAGAUCGAUUUGUUUGAUUGAAUUUUGCAAAAUGGAUAAAGAAAUUUACUUUUUCCUGUGCCGAAAAACAAUUACUUAUUAAAAAAAAGCCAUAUUAUAGAAAAUAAGCCGACGGACGGGGCCACACUUCGCAUAACAAAAUGAGUCGUAGAACUCAGUAACCCGGGAAUUCAAUGCGAGCCCGCUUACUACGCAAAACGUCAAGAAUCAGCACCUCCGCAAGCUGUGGCAAAACCCCAAGCAGCGUCAAAGGGAUGCCUUGACCAAAGAAAGAGUAUACAACACCGCUUGAUUCUACGGAUUCCGACCCAGACAAGACCCAGACCCAGACGACUAUAAUCCGACCACCGAUCCAGCCUUGAUUUAAAAAAUGUGUUGCUGUUGCAGUUUCUUGUCAUUUCUUCUCCUCAACCGUAACAACACCUUGCGAAAUGACGUAGAUUUAAAAAAUUCGUAAUUGUAAAUAAGAAUUAAAGUAUACAUUUCU
Long non-coding RNA from Pectinophora gossypiella (pink bollworm), 491 nucleotides. RefSeq lists it as uncharacterized. The record is from RefSeq and is a predicted model, not a curated record. Lineage: Eukaryota; Metazoa; Arthropoda; Insecta; Lepidoptera; Gelechiidae. The transcript is spliced from 3 exons.